This 426-nucleotide ribosomal RNA is filed under the name Triticum aestivum (bread wheat). Its description in RNAcentral is "partial small subunit ribosomal RNA". The record is from RNAcentral. Lineage: Eukaryota; Viridiplantae; Streptophyta; Magnoliopsida; Poales; Poaceae.
AUGGCGGCGAUACACGCGAGGCUGCCGAUCGCGGCAGAGGCUGCCGAGCGCGGUGCUGCCGGCGCCGCCGCUACCGCCGCCGCCGAAGCGGCAGCGUUUGAGGACGGGAAUCCAAACUACGGUGAUGGGCAAGAGAAAUUUGAUGCGGUCAUAGCUGAUCUUCUCCUGAUCCAAGAGUUGGAUAAGAAUCCCCGUGUCCCAAAAGAUGAGUUGUAUCGUUACAAUGUGCUCCCCGAGGAGCUCACUGCACUAGGGCCAAGGGUUAGAGAAUUGGGUGAUGACCUGUACGAAGCCCUUGGUCUCUCUUCCAUGGACAGGCGAAGCUUUGUCCAAAUGAAGCUCAAGCAUCAGGCCCACCAUCCAAUUGCCCGAACUUUACUGGAGAAAAUCAAUAAAAAUAUGGAGAAACUUGAGACGAUACCUUAG